RNAcentral lists this ribosomal RNA (497 nucleotides) under uncultured bacterium. RNAcentral's name for it is "partial 16S ribosomal RNA". It matches the Rfam family "Bacterial small subunit ribosomal RNA", at positions 28 to 507 of the family's 1533-position model. The record is from RNAcentral.
GAUGAACGCUGGCGGCGUGCCUAAUACAUGCAAGUCGAGCGAACAGGCGAGGAGCUUGCUUCUCUGACGUUAGCGGCGGACGGGUGAGUAACACGUGGAUAACCUACCUAUAAGACUGGGAUAACUUCGGGAAACCGGAGCUAAUACCGGAUAAUAUAUUGAACCGCAUGGUUCAAUAGUGAAAGACGGUUUUGCUGUCACUUAUAGAUGGAUCCGCGCCGCAUUAGCUAGUUGGUAAGGUAACGGCUUACCAAGGCAACGAUGCGUAGCCGACCUGAGAGGGUGAUCGGCCACACUGGACCUGAGACACGGUCCAGACUCCUACGGGAGGCAGCAGUAGGGAAUCUUCCGCAAUGGGCGAAAGCCUGACGGAGCAACGCCGCGUGAGUGAUGAAGGUCUUCGGAUCGUAAAACUCUGUUAUUAGGGAAGAACAAAUGUGUAAGUAACUAUGCACGUCUUGACGGUACCUAAUCAGAAAGCCACGGCUAACUACGUG